CGCAACUGCUUCCAGUUGCAUUGAGGGGGCUUCUAUCGAAAAACGUCUAAUUAGCCAUUGUGAAUCUAUGUGCAUUCCUCAAUGCAAUCUCUCAGAAGGUGAUCGAUCCAGAAAUCAUACCAAGGCUAAGGAGUGAUGUGGUGCAAUGUCUUGUCAGUUUUGAGCUGGUGUUCCCACCAUCCUUCUUCAAUAUCAUGACGCACGUCCUAGUUCAUUUGGCCCAGCGGUGAGCUGCAGUGCCGCUAGCUCGUCCGCGACGGCUACGACGCCAUCUGUGUCGUCCCUUGGUCUCUUCCCCCCGGCAGCAACCUUCUUGACGGUGUGGUCUUCCUCCUCCCCCUCCCUUAAUUUCUAGGUUUUUGAAGUCGGUUCAGUAGUUAAUUCACGGCCCAUGAGUUUGUGUAGAACGACAGGCGGCGGCAGAAAGAGCCAUUCCAUGACGAAUCUCUGGUAUGAUGACUCAUUCCUCUGUUUCCCGGUUCUGGAUUCAAGUUCCCAAAUGGAUACUUUUUUUUCUUGAUUGUGACUUUUGGAAUUUUCGAUUUGAUAGAUGAGAGGGCCAGCAAAAUGUGAUCAAUCAAUGGAGGUUGCAAGGGUGGUGAGAAUCUAUUGGCCGACGUUUGUUUAGUGUCAUAAUCUUAGAGUUUUUUCUGAUUCUCUAGAAUGUUGAAACAGUCUGGCUGUUUCAGUUUACGUCUUGCAUGGUCAGUGCAGAUGAAGUUUUUUUGGAUUAAUGUUUCUGCCCUAACGAGUUCCUUCCAUUUUUAUGUCUCAGGUUGUACGAUAUCCGCAGAUUGGCGCUUCUUUGUUCUGUCAGUGGAGAUUCAGUGUAUCACUGCAAAUUCCUUACUGCGUCAGUGUAUCAUAGCAAGUUCCUUACACUAGCAAAUUCUGUGUUUUUUGUAUUUUUGUUGAUGCAAGCCUGUUCUUUGACUAUAAAAGGAGCAGAGAUUUCUUUUCUUGUCAAGUCUAAUCCUUUUUUGAUGCAUUGCAGAUUGCUAUCAAACUCUCAAAAAGGAAAAUCAGCUUUAUUCUAAUUUGGCAAAGCUUGGAGGAUAUUUUUACACCAUGAAGAUAAGAGGAUGGGAAGGGACGAUCUUCAUGAGCCUCAGUGGUACUAUCAUAUUAUCAUAACUGCUGCAAAGUUCAUAUAAUGAUCCCUGUUUCAGACUCAGAUCAAAGGAACAAGGUGAUCAAUACGUUUCAGCCAUGGAAUACUGCAUCAAGAAAAACGAUCGAGUUGAGCAUACCGUGAUGUUGUGACAGGAGAUUCCGUUAGCUUUCAAACAAAGUAAUCCAGUAGAUAGGUCAACAUAUUUUGAAGGAACAACAAGCCUUCAAUGAACUCAGCCGGUAAUAGAAGGGAGUCCAGUACUAGCUAAUUCCACUUAGUACAAGAUGUAUGCCUGAUUAUCUGUGUGCGCAAUUUGUCAAGAACACAC
Molecule: long non-coding RNA, 1442 nt
Organism: Triticum dicoccoides
Lineage: Eukaryota; Viridiplantae; Streptophyta; Magnoliopsida; Poales; Poaceae
Exons: 4
Source: RefSeq, a predicted model, not a curated record